This 497-nucleotide ribosomal RNA is filed under the name uncultured bacterium. RNAcentral describes it as "partial 16S ribosomal RNA". It matches the Rfam family "Bacterial small subunit ribosomal RNA", at positions 28 to 507 of the family's 1533-position model. The record is from RNAcentral.
GAUGAACGCUGGCGGCGUGCCUAAUACAUGCAAGUCGAGCGAACAGAUGAGGAGCUUGCUCCUCUGACGUUAGCGGCGGACGGGUGAGUAACACGUGGGUAACCUACCUAUAAGACUGGGAUAACUUCGGGAAACCGGAGCUAAUACCGGAUAAUAUAUUGAACCGCAUGGUUCAAUAGUGAAAGAUGGUUUUGCUGUCACUUAUAGAUGGAUCCGCGCCGCAUUAGCUAGUUGGUAAGGUAACGGCUUACCAAGGCGACGAUGCGUAGCCGACCUGAGAGGGUGAUCGGCCACACUGGAACUGAGACACGGUCCAGACUCCUACGGGAGGCAGCAGUAGGGAAUCUUCCGCAAUGGGCGAAAGCCUGACGGAGCAACGCCGCGUGAGUGAUGAAGGUCUUCGGAUCGUAAAACUCUGUUAUUAGGGAAGAACAUAUGUGUAAGUAACUAUGCACGUCUUGACGGUACCUAAUCAGAAAGCCACGGCUAACUACGUG